UUCAUGACAAAAUUGUGUUUUGGUGAUGGUGAUGUGUUUGUACAUCUUACUUUACUGAACAUUCUUGCUGCUUACAGUUAUCUCUAUCUAUAAUGAACUUGGCCCAGUAGUUUCAGUGGAAAAUAUCAGUAAAAAUUUACAAAUUUUAUGAAAAUUGUUAAAAAUUUACUAUAAAGGACAAUAACUCCUUAGGGGGUCAAUUGACCAGUUCAGCCAUGUUGACUUAUUUGUAAAUCUUACUUUG
This 244-nucleotide long non-coding RNA is filed under the name Mytilus galloprovincialis (Mediterranean mussel). Lineage: Eukaryota; Metazoa; Mollusca; Bivalvia; Mytilida; Mytilidae. The record is from RNAcentral.